AACCCUUGUCCUAGUUACCAGCACGUAAUGGUGGGAACUCUAAGGAGACUGCCGGUGACAAACCGGAGGAAGGUGGGGAUGACGUCAAGUCAUCAUGGCCCUUACGGCCAGGGCUACACACGUGCUACAAUGGUCGGUACAAAGGGUUGCCAAGCCGCGAGGUGGAGCUAAUCCCAUAAACCGAUCGUAGUCCGGAUCGCAGUCUGCAACUCGACUGCGUGAAGUCGGAAUCGCUAGUAAUCGUGAAUCAGAAUGUCACGGUGAAUACGUUCCCGGGCCUU
RNAcentral lists this ribosomal RNA (281 nucleotides) under uncultured Pseudomonas sp. Its description in RNAcentral is "partial 16S ribosomal RNA". It matches the Rfam family "Bacterial small subunit ribosomal RNA", at positions 1100 to 1382 of the family's 1533-position model. The record is from RNAcentral. Lineage: Bacteria; Pseudomonadati; Pseudomonadota; Gammaproteobacteria; Pseudomonadales; Pseudomonadaceae.